RNAcentral lists this long non-coding RNA (339 nucleotides) under Gossypium barbadense (sea-island cotton). RNAcentral's name for it is "long non-coding RNA (GBAR_LNC011430)". The record is from RNAcentral. Lineage: Eukaryota; Viridiplantae; Streptophyta; Magnoliopsida; Malvales; Malvaceae.
AGAAUUAUUGAAAAGGAUAGACGCAAAAUUGUAAUUUUUCCUAGGAUGUAAUAAAAUGCAAAUGCAAAUGCAAAUGAAAUGUGAUAGAUUAAUAGUUAAAUUUAUCCAUAUAGAUCCAGAAAGACCAACUACGGAACUAGAUCGAGGAAAGCAAAAGGUUUCGGAUUAAUUGAGAUUCAAAUAUGAAUUAUUUUCAAGGUAAGUUCGUGUAACUUAAAUAUGUAUGUUAAUAUACUUGAUUUGAGUUAUAUGAUUGUAUUGAUAUGUAUGAGACGAUACACAUAAUGAAAUAGUCAUAAGUUGUGAAAAAUUGACAAAUUCUGAUGUUCUGGUUAAAUG